UCUGAUUAUCAAUUAAUGUUUUCUGAUUUUUAAUGACAAAAAAAUUUUAAAUUAAUUUCAUAUUUUCAUUAUUCUCCCAACGGACAAAAAAAAAUCUGAAUUAAUUGAAUAAAAAAGAAUUUUGAAUUAAUUGAAUUAACAAUAAAGUUGAUAUGCCUUUAAAAAAAAAACAAUAAAGUUGAUAGGACUAGGUGACUAGUCAAUUUCACUUUCACAGCAUGGGCACUCAACAAUUAGACUUGACUAGCUUACAGAAUUUGUAAGCUACAGACUGCAGCAUCAGCCGUUGGAUGUGGAGUGAGAAACUAAACAAUAGACAAUCGAAUGGUGGCAAUGGGAUGACGCAAGAAGUUUGUUAUAGAAUCGGUACCAUAGAGUCAUAGACAGGUCCCUCAACAAUUAAUUUUUAAUAAUAAAAAAAUUCUAAAUUAAAUCAAUUACUCACCUUACAAUUCCAACGGACAAAUGAAUGAUUAAAUGCAACUGUUUAAUUUGCUGCAACCUUGCAGAGUUGCACGAAGCUUUGCAGUUGUAGACUUGUAGGUUUGCAGCGUGUUUGCCUGUUUUUGACCGUUAAUAUGUUUACUUUUUUAUUCUAUUUAAACGAUUAAAUUAUUUUCGAUUUCAUCUCACUUCUCAAUCUCUAAUUCUCUAUCUCCUCGUUAUCUCUCUUGUCUCAUCAGUCAUCUCUAGUCUCUUGAUAAGUGCAUAUUUUCCAUAUAUUUUACUAUUAAUUUCUCCAUUUUUUUUCUUGUUUUGGUCUUAAAUAUUCUAGUUAUUUUAGUUUAUUUUUAAAUUAUACAUAUUUUACCCUUAAUUAUUUAAUUACUAGUGAUUUUUAUUUGUUAUUUUUAAAAUUUUAAUUAAUUGAAUUAUUUUACUGAAUAGGAAAUUAAUUGGAGAUUGUGGAUAAUAAAAAGGCAUGAAGAAAUUCAAAUUGAGAAGGAAUAAAGAUUAAAUUGGAAGACAAAAAUCAAAGCAAUUAAUCCAAUUGAGAAAUGUUGAAUAAUUAAAAGAUUUAAUGUUUUCCAAUUGGCAAUUGGAGUACACGUGCAUGGCAUUGCAAAAGUGGAAAGCAUUUAAACGGGCCCACAAUUGACUUUCAAAAGUUGGAAUUAAUGGCUUUGGGUGGCGUUAAAUUGGAAAAGGAUUUCAAUUCUAAUUGAAAAAGGAUUUCUUUGGAUUUGUUGGAGAAGAAUUCGGUCAACUAGCAUUAUAAAAGGAGAGCAGCUGCUGGACGGAAGGGAGAGGAGGGAGAGCAGGGGCUGAUCCAAUUUCGCAAGAAGAAAAAAAAAACAAGGAAGACGCCAGAAGG
RNAcentral lists this long non-coding RNA (1315 nucleotides) under Citrus x clementina. Its description in RNAcentral is "Citrus clementina (C. clementina) long non-coding RNA (CCLE_LNC002661)". Lineage: Eukaryota; Viridiplantae; Streptophyta; Magnoliopsida; Sapindales; Rutaceae. The record is from RNAcentral.